ACGGGAGGCAGCAGUGGGGAAUAUUGCACAAUGGGGGAAACCCUGAUGCAGCGACGCCGCGUGAGUGAAGAAGUAUUUCGGUAUGUAAAGCUCUAUCAGUAGGGAAGAAAAUGACGGUACCUAACUAAGAAGCCCCGGCUAACUACGUGCCAGCAGCCGCGGUACUACGUAGGGGGCAAGCGUUAUCCGGAUUUACUGGGUGUAAAGGGAGCGCAGACGGCAAAGCAAGUCUGAUGUGAAAUGCGGGGGCUCAACCCCUGAACUGCAUUGGAAACUGUUUAGCUAGAGUGCAGGAGAGGUAAGUGGAAUUCCUAGUGUAGCGGUGAAAUGCGUAGAUAUUAGGAGGAACACCGGUGGCGAAGGCGGCUUACUGGACUGUAACUGACGUUGAGGCUCGAAAGCGUGGGGAGCAAACAGGAUUAGAUACCCUGGUA
This 434-nucleotide ribosomal RNA is filed under the name uncultured Lachnospiraceae bacterium. RNAcentral describes it as "partial 16S ribosomal RNA". It matches the Rfam family "Bacterial small subunit ribosomal RNA", at positions 341 to 792 of the family's 1533-position model. The record is from RNAcentral. Lineage: Bacteria; Bacillati; Bacillota; Clostridia; Lachnospirales; Lachnospiraceae.